AAGACUACACUUUCAGGGAUUAUUUCUAUAGUUCAUUACUAGAGAAGUUUCUCUGGACGUGGAGCACCCAAAACCACGAGGAGGAGGCCCAGCACCCUCUCCUGAAUGGGAAGCAGCCUCUUGGUGCUGCCUCAGCAACUGCAUUUGCCUCUGAUGAUCGUUCUUCUCUCUCGUCUGAGCGAGUAAGAGGGGGAGGAUGCCAUAAAA
Molecule: small nucleolar RNA, 207 nt
Organism: Molossus molossus (Pallas's mastiff bat)
Lineage: Eukaryota; Metazoa; Chordata; Mammalia; Chiroptera; Molossidae
Product: small nucleolar RNA U3
Exons: 1
Source: RefSeq, a predicted model, not a curated record